RNAcentral lists this long non-coding RNA (236 nucleotides) under Mytilus galloprovincialis (Mediterranean mussel). Lineage: Eukaryota; Metazoa; Mollusca; Bivalvia; Mytilida; Mytilidae. The record is from RNAcentral.
UUCAAAUCUUGUAAAAGAUACAAGUUACUGUCCGAUUUUGUCAUGAUCUCCAAUAAAACUUUUAUUUUGAAACCAAAUGCCGUUAUUUAAUGACAUUUCAUUAAUAAAAAAAAGUGACAACAUAUGUGUUUCCUUUAAUCAUUUAAUUUAUAUUUUUAUUUUGCCAUAUUUUUUUUUUUGGGAUGCCGAAUCGAUGUGCACGCAACUGCGUGUUAGCGUAUAUGCAGCUACGCGCC